CCUACGGGAGGCAGCAGUAGGGAAUCUUCCACAAUGGGCGAAAGCCUGAUGGAGCAACGCCGCGUGGGUGAAGAAGGUCUUCGGAUCGUAAAACCCUGUUGUCAGAGAAGAAAGUGCGUGAGAGUAACUGUUCACGUUUCGACGGUAUCUAACCAGAAAGCCACGGCUAACUACGUGCCAGCAGCCGCGGUAAUACGUAGGUGGCAAGCGUUAGCCGGAUUUAAUGGGGGGAAAGGGCACGCAGGCCGGCUGUUAAGCCUGAUGUGAAAGCCUUCGGCUUAACCGGGGAAGUGCAUUGGAAACUGGAAGACUUGAGUGCAGAAGAGGAGAGUGGAACUCCAUGUGUAGCGGUGAAAUGCGUAGAUAUUAGGAGGAACACCAGUGGCGAAGGCGGCUCUCUGGACUGUAACUGACGCUGAGGUUCGAAAGCGUGGGUAGCAAACAGGAUUAGAUACCCGAGUAGUC
This 465-nucleotide ribosomal RNA is filed under the name uncultured bacterium. RNAcentral's name for it is "partial 16S ribosomal RNA". It matches the Rfam family "Bacterial small subunit ribosomal RNA", at positions 338 to 795 of the family's 1533-position model. The record is from RNAcentral.